GGCUUGGUGGCAUAAUGGUAACACGCUCUGUGUACCUAUAUGCAACGUUCAUAUAUUGUUCGACGGAAAGUCCGGAGUUCGAUUCUCCGUCAGGCCA
Molecule: non-coding RNA, 97 nt
Organism: Mycena latifolia
Lineage: Eukaryota; Fungi; Basidiomycota; Agaricomycetes; Agaricales; Mycenaceae
Source: the annotation of a GenBank genome assembly